Molecule: ribosomal RNA, 406 nt
Filed under: uncultured bacterium
Lineage: Bacteria
Description: partial 16S ribosomal RNA
Rfam family: Bacterial small subunit ribosomal RNA
Source: RNAcentral
AUUGAACGCUGGCGGCAGGCCUAACACAUGCAAGUCGAGCGAGCGGCGGACGGGUGAGUAAUGCCUAGGAAUCUGCCUGGUAGUGGGGGAUAACGUCCGGAAACGGGCGCUAAUACCGCAUACCAUCGGAUGUGCCCAGCUGGGAUUAGCUAGUAGGUGGGGUAACGGCUCACCUAGGCGACGAUCCCUAGCUGGUCUGAGAGGAUUACCAGCCACACUGGAACUGAGACACGGUCCAGACUCCUACGGUAGGCAGCAGUGGGUAAUAUUGCACAAUGGGCGCAAGCCUGAUGCAGCCAUGCCGCGUGUAUGAAGAAGGCCUUCGGGUUGUAAAGUACUUUCAGCGAGGAGGCGUUACUCGCAGAAGAAGCACCGGCUAACUCCGUGCCAGCCGCCGCGGUAAUAC